This 3155-nucleotide long non-coding RNA is filed under the name Sus scrofa (pig). Its description in RNAcentral is "lncRNA (ENSSSCG00065035566.1)". The record is from RNAcentral. Lineage: Eukaryota; Metazoa; Chordata; Mammalia; Artiodactyla; Suidae.
UUUUUCUUUUUUUUUUUUUUUUUUUUUUUUUUUUGUCUUUUUAGGGCCGCAUCCUAGGCAUAUGGAGUUCCCACUAUGGCUCACUGGAACCGAUCCUGACUAGGAUCCAAGAAGAUUUGGGUUUGAUCUUUGGCCCCACUCAGUGGGUUAAGGAUCCAGCGUUGCCAUGAGCUGUGGUGUAGGUUGCAUCUGGUGCUACUAUGACUGUGGCAUAAGCCGGCAGCUGUAGCUCCAACUGGAUGCCUAGCCUAGGAACUUCCAUAUGCCUUGGGUGCAGCCGUGAAAAAAAUAAAUAAAUAAAUAAACAAACCACUUUUAGGAGUUCCCUGGUGGCCUAGCAGUAAGGACCUGGUGUUGUCAUUGCUGUGCUUGGAUCACUGUUGUAGUACGGGUUUCAAUCCCUGGCCUGGAAACUUCUGCAAAAAACAAUAAACCCAAAAAACACCACUUUUUUCUAUUUCACUCUUUACCGUGCCUUAAUCUGAGAGUCUACUAUAAAUGGAGUACAUAGUACAAUGAAAACUGCACGUAGGUAAUAAAAGCACAGGCGUCAAUUCCAAAGUCCUCAGCCAGGGACCUGUCCACAGCUGUAGGUACUGCAGCUGUUGGCAGAAGCCAGAGCCGCCCCAGGUCUAGAGUCUGGGCCUUGCUCUUCCGUUUUUUUCCCCAGGGCUAAUAGAGCAGAGGGAGAGUCCGCCCUGCCUUGUGGCCGUGAGGACGUGCUGUAUAAGUGCAUACGUCCUUCAGCUAUUUCCUGUGAUGCCCAGAGAUCGCAAUCCUGACAGGGAGUCAGGGUUCACAGGUCAUGUCAGGCUUAAAAAGAUCACAACCGCUCGAGGGUGGGGGCGUGGAGCAGAGCAGGGAGACCACCUGGAGGCUACUGUGAUGUAAGAGCCAAGACGGGCUCCCUGUCUUCCUCCCAGCCUGUGAGGGCGAACACAAGGCAAGUGCUCAGAAACUGCGAAGCAGACAACAGUACCUGGUUUCUAAGGAAGAGUGUAUUCAGAUCAAUACCUGAGGCCAACACACCGCCGUCUGCAGCCCUCUCCUUUACCCGUAAGAAGGCAGGGCUAGGACGGUGCGGAAGGCCCAGGGCUCCAGCAGGCAGAAGACACCUUAUUCCCACAGCAAGGUCACAGCCAGCAGAGGUUUUCCUAAGGAUUCUCUGCGGUUUGACCACCUCCGCCCACCCCCGCAACCCCAUCCAAUCCGGGAAAAACAAGGGCAAGUAUAGCGAGUCCAGCUUCAGGCCCAGGAAAAGUCACUGACAUCUGCACCCAUUGCACAAUGAUCUUUACACGCAGCACGCUCAAGAGGAAACUUCGAGAGAAGGAAUGUUACCUGCCAUUCCAGUAAACAAAGACUGCUGCCUAUCUUUCCAGUAAGUGGGGAUGGAGCCAUCACCCCCUGCAGCCACAGCCCCACCCCCAGGGUGCAGGCCGAGGGGAGCGUACAGAAAAGGGAGGCUUUCUGUGCUCCAGGCACCGGCCCCAGAGUUAGGAUGCGUAUCUAAGGAAUAACGUUCAAUGAGCCCAGAUUCUUGCAUCUUCUCCAAGAGAGAAAAGCUCUAAAAUCAUGAACUGGAGGGGUCUGUUUUUGUGACGAGCAGUCAUCUUUGAUGUUCAACUACAUUUUUUUUAACAAAAGCUCCCCUAUAUCCUGACUCCUCCCCUAACUCUUUGGAGCGGUUCCUCAGAGCGAUCUGAGAGGCUGUCUCCCGGCUUAGGUCCUCAGUAAGGUCCCCAAAUAAAAUUGAACUUGCAGCUUUCAGGUUGUGUGUUUUCCUUCAGCCCACCGUUCUGGACAUCAACAAAGGGACCCAGAGCCAACGUCCGUCCUCGCUUGAACUCUACCAGGAUCUGCAGCCGUGGUACCAGCAGGGCCCCCUUGGGUCCCACCGCCUCCGCAGAGGGUCCAGAGGAAUUUAGCUGCAUCUCUUCUGGUCUUGGAUUUCCCGUUAUUGGCUGAUGAUCCUAAGUUUUAUUUGGUAGUGAGUAACGUCCUCACUGGAGGUGGAGGUUUUCCUUGAACUUAGUUUCUAGAAGCCGGACCUGGGUCACCCAGAUGAACAACACUGGGAAGAUUUUGCUCAGGAGAAAAACACUGGUGUGGAAUCCUUCAAAUUAGAGAGGCUUCUAAAUUGGUAAAUUUUUAGAGAGGUCUCAUUAUAAACAGGUAUUUUAUUUGUACCUAUGAAAAGACCAAAGUAGAAGGUGGAUACAAAAAAAUAUAACAGCUAAAUUUAUUUAGAACUCCCUUAGUUUAAAAUAAAUAAACAAUGGCAACAAAAAUGGUUUGGGACGCUACAUUUGUAGUCUCAGUUUCCCCUCAGUGGGUCUUAGAGAUGCUAAUAAAAACAUUAGAUCAGGAGUUCCCUUGCGGUGAAGUGGGUUAAGGAUCCUGCACUGUCGCUCUGUGGCUCAGGUCACUGCUGUGGUGUGGGUUUGAGCCCUGCUGCAGGUGAGGCCAAAAAAACAAACCAAAAAAAAAAACCCAUUAGAUCAGUUGUCAAUUAGGUUAAUUAACAGAUGAACUAGAAAAAAAAAAACUAAAGGGAAAGUCUAGAGACUUCUUCCCAAAAGAGGGUAAUUUUUAUUUUCUUUUUGCAUUUAGAAAUUCCCAGGCUAGGGGUUGAAUCAGAGCUACAGCUGCCACCCUGUGUAUGCCACAUCCACAGCAACGCUGGAUCCCCAAAACACUGAGUGAAGCCAGGGGUUGAACCUGCAUCCUCAUGGAUACUGGUCAGAUUCAUUUCCACUGUGCCACAAUGGGAACUCUCAAAAAGCCGGCUAUUUUAAAGAGACUUGUCCCACAAGGAUAAAAAUCUUGAGGUGGUUAAGAAAUAGGAUAGAUAAAACAGAUAUUAAUGGAGUUAAAACAAAAGUUUUGAUACAAUACUACCUAAGGUUGGCUGGUCAAAGGGGGACCCUCUACAAUUUCCCAAUAUUAAAGAACCGCAAACAAGUCCACCCUAUUUACCCCAGUUUAAAGUACAUACAUACUUAAAGACUGCUAGGGAGUUCCCGUCAUGGCUCAGUGGUUAAUGAAUAAGACUGGGAACCAUGAGGUUGUGUGUUCGAUCCCUGGCCUCGCUCAGUGGGUUAAGGAUGUGGCGUUGCCACGAGCUGUGGUUUAGGUCCCAGACAUGGCUCGGA